Molecule: ribosomal RNA, 105 nt
Filed under: Castor canadensis (American beaver)
Lineage: Eukaryota; Metazoa; Chordata; Mammalia; Rodentia; Castoridae
Source: RNAcentral
GUCUAUGGCUAUCCCACCCUGAAUGCGCCUUAUCUCAUCUCAUCUCAGAAGCUAAGGAGGGUCGGAUCUGGUUAGUACUUGGAUAGGAAACAAGUCUUCCAGGCC